AGCGAACGCUGGCGGCAGGCUUAACACAUGCAAGUCGAACGCUCCUAGCAAUAGGGGAGUGGCAGACGGGUGAGUAACGCGUGGGAACAUACCCUUUGGUUCGGAAUAACUCGGCGAAAGCCGUGCUAAUACCGGAUAAGCCCCUCACGGGGGAAAGAUUUAUCGCCGAAGGAUUGGCCCGCGUCCGAUUAGCUAGUUGGUGAGGUAAUGGCUCACCAAGGCGACGAUCGGUAGCUGGUCUGAGAGGAUGAUCAGCCACACUGGGACUGAGACACGGCCCAGACUCCUACGGGAGGCAG
This 299-nucleotide ribosomal RNA is filed under the name uncultured bacterium. RNAcentral describes it as "partial 16S ribosomal RNA". It matches the Rfam family "Bacterial small subunit ribosomal RNA", at positions 29 to 351 of the family's 1533-position model. The record is from RNAcentral.